CAGUGCUCCAAGUCAGCAAGCCUGCUGAUGGCUUCCUGCUCCUCGACAAGAUUCUGGCUAAGAGUCCUGUGGAUCCAUACCGUGGAAGGACAGAACCAACUUCUGAAAAGAGAGAACCGAUUCCGACCUCCACGUGUACACUGCAGCACACAUGAUCACCGCCCCAAUUAAAUAAAUAAAUGUAAUUUUACAAGAGACUGA
Molecule: long non-coding RNA, 201 nt
Organism: Mesocricetus auratus (golden hamster)
Lineage: Eukaryota; Metazoa; Chordata; Mammalia; Rodentia; Cricetidae
Exons: 2
Source: RefSeq, a predicted model, not a curated record